Molecule: ribosomal RNA, 252 nt
Filed under: uncultured bacterium
Lineage: Bacteria
Description: partial 16S ribosomal RNA
Rfam family: Bacterial small subunit ribosomal RNA
Source: RNAcentral
UACGUAGGUGGCAAGCGUUAUCCGGAAUUAUUGGGCGUAAAGAGGGAGCAGGCGGCAGCAAAGGUCUGUGGUGAAAGACUGAAGCUUAACUUCAGUAAGCCAUAGAAACCGGGCAGCUAGAGUGCAGGAGAGGAUCGUGGAAUUCCAUGUGUAGCGGUGAAAUGCGUAGAUAUAUGGAAGAACACCAGUGGCGAAAGCGGCUCUCCGGUCUGUAACUGACGCUGAGGUUCGAAAGCGUGGGUAGCAAACAGG